This 333-nucleotide long non-coding RNA is filed under the name Brachypodium distachyon (stiff brome). RNAcentral's name for it is "long non-coding RNA (BDIS_LNC001029)". The record is from RNAcentral. Lineage: Eukaryota; Viridiplantae; Streptophyta; Magnoliopsida; Poales; Poaceae.
GCCUGCUUUUCCAGUGAUUAAACUGCUGCGGGGAUGGACCGGUUCAGACCCAGGUUGAACCAAGUUAAUGCGGUGGGGUUUGGAGCAGGAUCCCUGACAAGUGGGGUCCAUUGUUAGUUUCUCCAUCAAAACGGGCUUAACCAAACAAUCAGUGCAUGAGGUGACCAAUAUACCCAAAAGUGGUGGCAAUUUGUAAAAAAUUAAAAAAAAUGUGGUUUUCCUAGAAGGUCGUCUCAAAUGUGGUGGUUCUAUGUAAUUUUUUCUUAUAAAAAAAUUCAAAAAUUUAUUCCUAUGUUCCUAAUGGACAGAGGACACAAAAAAUACAGUUUUGAG